UCGAGGGGAAACGAUAUUGGAAGCUUGCUUCCGAUAGGCGUCGACCGGCGCACGGGUGAGUAACGCGUAUGCAACUUACCUAUCAGAGGGGAUAGCCCGGCGAAAGUCGGAUUAAUACCCAAUGACAUCCCACGAAGGCAUCUGAAUGGGAUUAAAGAUUUAUCGGUGAUGGAUGGGGAUGCGUUCCAUUAGGUAGUAGGCGGGGUAAUGGCCCACCUAGCCGACGAUGGAUAGGGGUUCUGAGAGGAAGGUCCCCACAUUGGAACUGAGACACGGUCCAAACUCC
Molecule: ribosomal RNA, 286 nt
Filed under: uncultured Bacteroidales bacterium
Lineage: Bacteria; Pseudomonadati; Bacteroidota; Bacteroidia; Bacteroidales
Description: partial 16S ribosomal RNA
Rfam family: Bacterial small subunit ribosomal RNA
Source: RNAcentral